This 240-nucleotide ribosomal RNA is filed under the name uncultured Lactobacillus sp. Its description in RNAcentral is "partial 16S ribosomal RNA". It matches the Rfam family "Bacterial small subunit ribosomal RNA", at positions 122 to 356 of the family's 1533-position model. Lineage: Bacteria; Bacillati; Bacillota; Bacilli; Lactobacillales; Lactobacillaceae. The record is from RNAcentral.
UAACCUGCCCAAGAGAUCGGGAUAACACCUGGAAACAGAUGCUAAUACCGGAUAACAACAGAUGAUGCCUAUCAACUGUUUAAAAGAUGGUUCUGCUAUCACUCUUGGAUGGACCUGCGGUGCAUUAGCUAGUUGGUAGGGUAACGGCCUACCAAGGCGAUGAUGCAUAGCCGAGUUGAGAGACUGAUCGGCCACAUUGGGACUGAGACACGGCCCAAACUCCUACGGGAGGCAGCAGUG